This 867-nucleotide ribosomal RNA is filed under the name uncultured crenarchaeote. RNAcentral's name for it is "bacterial SSU rRNA". It matches the Rfam family "Archaeal small subunit ribosomal RNA", at positions 21 to 865 of the family's 1478-position model. The record is from RNAcentral. Lineage: Archaea; Thermoproteati; Thermoproteota.
ACCCCACUGCUAUCGGGAUGGGACUAAGACAUGCUAGUUGAGCGCCUUCCAGCCAUGUGGGAGGCGCAGCGCACAGCUCAGUAACACGUGGCUAACCUGCCCUUGGGACGAGACCAACCCCGGGAAACUGGGGAUAAUCCUCGAUAGGUGAAGAACUCUGGAAUGAGUCUUUGCUUAAAGGGCGUUGGAUCAUGCUUUCAACGUCGCCCAAGGAUGGGGCCGCGACCGAUCAGGUUGUUGGUGAGGUAAUGGCCCACCAAGCCUUUUACCGGUGCGGGCCGUGAGAGCGGGAGCCCGGAGAUGGGCACUGAGACAAGGGCCCAGGUCCUACGGGGCGCAGCAGUCGCGAAAACUUUGCAAUACACGAAAGUGUGACAGGGUCAUCCCGAGUGCCGACCGCUGAGGUUGGCUUUUACCCAGUCUAGAAAGCUGGGGGAAUAAGGAGAGGGCAAGUCUGGUGUCAGCCGCCGCGGUAAUACCAGCUCUCCGAGUGGUGUGGAUGUUUAUUGGGCCUAAAGCAUCCGUAGCUGGCUAGGUUAGUCCCCUGUUAAAUCCACCGAAUUAAUCGUUGGAUUGCGGGGGAUACUGCUUGGCUAGGGGACGAGAGAGGCAGACGGUAUUUCCGGGGUAGGGGUGAAAUCCUAUAAUCCCGGGAAGACCACCAGUGGCGAAGGCUGUCUGCUAGAACGCGCCCGACGGUGAGGGAUGAAAGCUGGGGGAGCGAACCGGAUUAGAUACCCGGGUAGCCCCAGCUGUAAACGAUGCAGACUAGGUGUUUGGACGGCCACGUGCCGUUCUAGUGCCGCAGGGAAGCUGUUAAGUCUGCCGCCUGGGGAGUACGAUCGCAAGAUUGAAACUUAAAGGAAU